RNAcentral lists this ribosomal RNA (163 nucleotides) under uncultured bacterium. RNAcentral's name for it is "partial 16S ribosomal RNA". It matches the Rfam family "Bacterial small subunit ribosomal RNA", at positions 355 to 511 of the family's 1533-position model. The record is from RNAcentral.
UAGGGAAUCUUCCACAAUGGGCGAAAGCCUGAUGGAGCAACGCCGCGUGUGUGAUGAAGGCUUUCGGGUCGUAAGCACUGUUGUAUGGGAAGAACAGCUAGAAUAGGAAAUGAUUUUAGUUUGACGGUACCAUACCAGAAAGGGACGGCUAAAUACGUGCCAG